Long non-coding RNA from Scophthalmus maximus (turbot), 571 nucleotides. RefSeq lists it as uncharacterized. NCBI's taxonomy places the organism in Eukaryota, Metazoa, Chordata, Actinopteri, Pleuronectiformes, Scophthalmidae. The transcript has 2 exons. The record is from RefSeq and is a predicted model, not a curated record.
AACUCACCUUGGCUGUGGUGAGUCCAUAGAAGACCGGGGAGUGUGUGCUGGCGCUGUACUGGGACCACUGGGUGCUCACCGAGCCGCUAUCUGUCCACUCCGCACUGGGAGGACUGGGCUGCUCAGCUUCAUACUCUACAAAAACACACACCAAAAAAAAAGCUCUCCUCGCAGGAUGCCAAGCCUCUGCUCCAGCAGAGAGGACACCCACAGUCCCAGGCUCUCCCUGUUGGUCUGAGUGUGUAGCUGCUCCCUCAGGGUGCCGUAGAGACCCAGAACGUCUCCAUGAUGCUGCUCCUGCUUCUCGUCACCUUGCUGGACCUGUGUCCACAGCAGCGCCAGCUGCUGCUCCACACGUUCAAGGCGUUCCAAAUCCACAGUGGAGACUGCCGCUGUUGGAAGGAUUGGCUGAGGAGGAGAAUCAAGGAGCGAACAGAGAGGAGGAUAAUGGUGGAAAUUAGGAGAAAAAAGCUACAAAGACACAUUAUGGCAUGUAACUCUUACUGUGUUUGUGUGCAUUUGUAAAAAAGGGAAAAAGUAGCGUGGUCAUUAAAAAGUCUAAAGUUGAAAA